UUUGUUUCUAAAAGGAGACUUGCCCCAUUGUCUCAACAGCCUAUGGAGUUAUGAGUAAAAAUAUUUUGGGUGUAUUACUCCAAGGUUUGUAUAAGUGAGAAAAUGGACACUUCUGCAUAAUUUCUUGUUCUGUUCCAGCACAGCUUGGCCAAUGUCAAUAGUCAGGGUUACACUUUGGAUAAUACUCUGCAUUUUGUGCUGGUACCUAUGCAUAAUGGUACUGGUGAUGUGAUGAUAAUUGUGUGAAGAGAUAAACAGUCAUAGCAUAAGAGAUUUUUUCCUCUGAUUUGAACAUUUCCCAAUGUGUAACGGUACGGACAAUUCCCAAGGAAAUUUUUUUGAGAGGAGAAAGAGGGUUUCCUUACCUCUACUUCCUUAGUCAGAUUAAUUGAUUUCUGUUUUUGUGGUGUAUAUCUGAUAUUUUUGCCUUCAAAACAUUCCUUUUUCUUAUAAUAAAAGUAUUCUGAUUUCCAUUUUGGGAACUAACUGCCUCUUCCUUAUACUUAUUCUAUGUGUUUCAGACGCCUAUGACUUCACUUGGCUUUAAGGGAGGAGACAUCACAAAAGCCUGGCCUGUCGUAACACUGCAUCCUCUUGGCCACAAAGAUUGAUUCAAGGUAAACUAGAAAAUACGGAUGGGGAGGAAUUCAUGCUUUGGGUCAGGGUACAUUAUAGGAAGUAUUCAAGUUUGGUCUGGAUCCUCACUUAGCAGGUAGAAGACAGAAGACGCCUUCCUAAUUUCCACUGAAGCUAGAAUGCAAGUUGGAGAGAACCCAUUGGAGACUCAGUUCAGAAGAGAGCGACAUGAGGAGGUUACACCAUAGAGACUCAUUUCCUGUGAGGGUGGGGAGACAAGGAGCUUUCAGAGGUCACAGAAGCAAGACAUUUUAGGAGUAUGGUCCCUGGGUGGGCAGUGCAGACUCUAGGGCUAUGGUGGUGGCAAUGGGACCUUUACUGGAGCAUUCUAUUUCAGUGUAAUCAGAAUAUUCUUCUUGGUAAGACGGAUAUCUCCAGCCUUAGUGAGAUUUAAUGAGCUACUUACAUCCUUUAACAUGUUCUUUUUAUGCAUAAAUUGGAUGGAAUGGGCUCUGUUGUUUCCAGCUAGAAAAAUUGUUGUUGAUACAUGGAUAUUUGAGGUAACCAAAGUGGGGAAGAUGGAGACUAGUCUGCUCAGCCAUUAUAGGAUAAAUUACUAUUUUUUUAAACAACCUAGUCAGUGUUAAAAUGAUUGAGCAAUAUCACCACAGUCUUAAUUAAUUCAAUCAGAAUUGUUUUUUCCUCAGCAAGAAGGUAUAACAGUCUGCUCCAGUUUAAGAAAAUCUCAUACACAAAGUCUAAAUUUACAUAACAGAUAUAUUAAAAGACCUUUUUUCAAUUUAUCAAAGGAUUAACUAUGUAAAAGGAUUUACUAUAUGUUUUACUUAACUAGCGAAUUCCUCAGUUAUUUACUACAUUGUAACUUAUUUUAAUACUCCAUCUUUAAAGACCUUUCCAAGACCAUAUUUGCUACAUAAAUAGAGGUUUGCUUUUAUUUAAGUAUGAAAAUUUACAUGCUGUGGGAAGUUGUGAAAUUACUAGUCCCUGCAGGCCAACAAAGGAUUCCAACUUGCACUUUCAAAAUUGGAAUGCUUUUUCUAUAUCAACAUUAUGAAGAAAAUAUGCUAUUGAGAAAUAAGUUUAUUAUGUAGGGUUGUUAAAUGAAGACUAUAAAAUACAUAUCUAACUAAAAAAUUCAACACUACAGAAGAGUAUGCCAUCCAGUUCAUGAAUGUUUUUUGUGUUAAGUUAGAUAGCUAUUGAUUUUGUAGAGUGACCUUAAUCCACUUUGUAGCUAUUAUUUUCGGUUGUGAAUGGAAAAUAAAUUUUUUUAGGGUCUGAAGAUACUAUACAGCUGGGUUUUGGCAACAAUAGUGCAAAGACAAUGCCUGCAUUGUGUGUGUGUGUGUGUGCACACGCGCUCUUGUAUGCUUACAUACAUACUAUACUGCACUACACUUACAGAAACCUCUAAAUCCCUAUUGGGUUCACAAGUUCAGAGCGGAUGUGGAACACCUAUUAGACAUUUAAGAGCAUCAUAAAAAGACUAUCUCUGGAGAUUGUGUUUAUGCUUGGAAUGGAUCUCCUCCCGGGAAAGUUGAAAGCCCAUUAAAAGGAUUUGAUCUCAGCUUUUGUGUGUUGUUUCUUUUCCUAUUAGAGAGCUGUUCUUACAGCUGUGAUGCAGUCAGUUGUCUCUUCAAUUACUGGGGAUUAGAUUUUAUAACAACGACAGGAAAGCAACUCGGCCACUGAUACUUAACAUGACAAUAUAGAUGCAGAGAUUUCACAAUUAAAAAAAAAAAAAA
Trichechus manatus latirostris (Florida manatee) is the source of this 2342-nucleotide long non-coding RNA. RefSeq lists it as uncharacterized. The transcript is spliced from 3 exons. The record is from RefSeq and is a predicted model, not a curated record. Lineage: Eukaryota; Metazoa; Chordata; Mammalia; Sirenia; Trichechidae.